This 468-nucleotide ribosomal RNA is filed under the name uncultured bacterium. Its description in RNAcentral is "partial 16S ribosomal RNA". It matches the Rfam family "Bacterial small subunit ribosomal RNA", at positions 28 to 507 of the family's 1533-position model. The record is from RNAcentral.
GACGAACGCUGGCGGCGUGCUUAACACAUGCAAGUCGAACGGAAAGGCCCUGCUUUUGUGGGGUGCUCGAGUGGCGAACGGGUGAGUAACACGUGAGUAACCUGCCCUUGACUUUGGGAUAACUUCAGGAAACUGGGGCUAAUACCGGAUAGGAGCUCCUGCUGCAUGGUGGGGGUUGGAAAGUUUCGGCGGUUGGGGAUGGACUCGCGGCUUAUCAGCUUGUUGGUGGGGUAGUGGCUUACCAAGGCUUUGACGGGUAGCCGGCCUGAGAGGGUGACCGGCCAAAUUGGGACUGAGAUACGGCCCAGACUCCUACGGGAGGCAGCAGUGGGGAAUAUUGAACAAUGGGCGGAAGCCUGAUGCAGCAACGCCGCGUGCGGGAUGACGGCCUUCGGGUUGUAAACCGCUUUCGCCUGUGGCGAAGCGUGAGUGACGGUAAUGGGUAAAGAAGCACCGGCUAACUACGUG